This 231-nucleotide long non-coding RNA is filed under the name Monodelphis domestica (gray short-tailed opossum). RNAcentral describes it as "lncRNA (ENSMODG00000036670.1)". Lineage: Eukaryota; Metazoa; Chordata; Mammalia; Didelphimorphia; Didelphidae. The record is from RNAcentral.
UCUCCUCAUUUUUAGUUAAGAAAACUGAGUAAUACAACAUCUAGCCUUCAGUCGAGUGAUGACCUCUCCCUGAGCCUUCUACAGUGCUCCUUCUCAGUUCAGACCAACCUGUCCCUUUCUAAAAGCCAGGAGUUCUCCCAGCAUGCAAGGGAACAGACUCUCCAAGCUGAAGAGAGCAGUGUGAAAAUCUGCUGAAGCUCAACAGGGAGUGCUCCCAAGAAGAAACAAGAG